UACGGGGGGGGCAAGCGUUGUUCGGAAUUACUGGGCGUAAAGGGCCCGUAGGCGGCCAACUCAGUCGGAUGUGAAAUCCCCAGGCUCAACUUGGGAACUGCAUCCGAUACUGGAUGGCUUGAAUCCGGGAGAGGGAUGCAGAAUUCCAGGUGUAGCGGUGAAAUGCGUAGAUAUCUGGAGGAAUACCGGUGGCGAAGGCGGCAUCCGGGACCGGCAUUGACGCUGAACGGCGAAAGCUAGGGGAGCAAACGGG
RNAcentral lists this ribosomal RNA (253 nucleotides) under uncultured bacterium. RNAcentral describes it as "partial 16S ribosomal RNA". It matches the Rfam family "Bacterial small subunit ribosomal RNA", at positions 524 to 776 of the family's 1533-position model. The record is from RNAcentral.